RNAcentral lists this small nuclear RNA (107 nucleotides) under Chinchilla lanigera (long-tailed chinchilla). The record is from RNAcentral. Lineage: Eukaryota; Metazoa; Chordata; Mammalia; Rodentia; Chinchillidae.
GUGCUCACUUUGGUAGCACACACACUAAAAUUGGAAUGAUACAGAGAAGAUUAGCAUGGCCCCUGCACAAGGAUAACACGUACAUUCAUGAAGCAUUCCAUAUUUUG